RNAcentral lists this ribosomal RNA (803 nucleotides) under uncultured bacterium. RNAcentral's name for it is "bacterial SSU rRNA". It matches the Rfam family "Bacterial small subunit ribosomal RNA", at positions 32 to 813 of the family's 1533-position model. The record is from RNAcentral.
GACGCUGGCGGGUGCUUACACAUCGCAAGUCUGAGCGAAUUUGGCGAGCACACCGCCAAAGUUAGCGGCAGACGGGUGAGUAACUACUUGGGCAAUCUGCCCUUGAGUGGGGGACAACCUGCCGAAAGGUCGGGCUAAUACCCCAUAAGAUCCACGGAGGUGCAUACUUCAGAGGGUCAAAGCUCCGCAAGGGGCGCUUGAGUGAGGAGCCCUGAUGUCCUAUCAUGGUAGUUGGCGGGGUAAUGGCCCACCAAGCCGUUUGACGGGUAGCCUGGCCUGAAUAGGGCAACCGGCCACACUGGCACUGAGACACGGGCCAGACUCCAUACGGGAGGCAGCAGUGGGGAAUUUUGGACAAUGGGGGCAACCCUGAUCCAGCGACGCCGCGUGAAGGAUGAAGGUCUUCGGAUUGUAAACUUCUUUUGGAGGGGAUGAAUGUCUGCGUGAAUAACGCAGAGUGACAGUACUCUCUGAAUAAGCCACGGCUAACUACGUGCCAGCAGCCGCGGUAAUACGUAGGUGGCAAGCGUUACUCGGAAUCACUAGGCGUAAGCGCAGGUAGGAGGUUAGUAAGUCUGUGUGAAAGCUCCCGGCUUAACUGGGAGAGGUCAACGGAAACUGCUAGGCUAGAGUGCGGUAGAGGGAAAGGUGGAAUUCCCGGUGUAGCGGUGAAAUGCGUAGAUUCGGGAGGAAUACCUAUGGCGAAAGCAGCCUUCUGGACCGUCACUGACUCUGAUCUGCGAAAGCUAGGGGGAGCAAACCAGGGAUUAGAUAACCUGGUAGUCCUAGCCCUAAACGAUGAU